RNAcentral lists this ribosomal RNA (274 nucleotides) under uncultured bacterium. Its description in RNAcentral is "partial 16S ribosomal RNA". It matches the Rfam family "Bacterial small subunit ribosomal RNA", at positions 523 to 796 of the family's 1533-position model. The record is from RNAcentral.
CUACGGAGGGUGCAAGCGUUAAUCGGAAUUACUGGGCGUAAAGCGCGCGUAGGCGGAUUGAUCAGUCGGAUGUGAAAGCCCCGGGCUCAACCUGGGAACUGCAUUCGAUACUGUUAAGCUAGAGUAUGGUAGAGGGAAGUGGAAUUCCAGGUGUAGCGGUGAAAUGCGUAGAUAUCUGGAGGAACAUCAGUGGCGAAGGCGACUUCCUGGACCAAUACUGACGCUGAGGUGCGAAAGCGUGGGGAGCAAACAGGAUUAGAAACCCGAGUAGUCC